Molecule: long non-coding RNA, 1314 nt
Filed under: Oryzias sinensis (Chinese medaka)
Lineage: Eukaryota; Metazoa; Chordata; Actinopteri; Beloniformes; Adrianichthyidae
Description: lncRNA (ENSOSIG00000001639.1)
Source: RNAcentral
UGCUCUCACACACACUACUGAAAAUGCUCUCACACACACUACUGAAAAUCCUCUCACAUACACAUGUGAAAAUUUCAAUAGAAACGGAAGGCAUUUCAGUAGAAACGUUUUUUUUUUACUUUAUUGUUAGAAACGAAGUUGGUCGACUGAAGGCAUUUCAGUGGAAAUGAACCUGUGUCCGAAUUCCUGCCCUGAUCCCUAACUACUAAAACCUUAUAUAGUGCAGAACUAUAUAGUUCUAUAUAGUUCUCUGAAUUUAAAAGCAAUUCAGACACCCGUGCUCAGUACUUUUUUCUUUUGGGUGUUGUUCAUAACGCGCUUGACACGGAAACAAAGUGGCGCAUUACCGCCACCACCUGGUCUGGAGGCGAACUACUCCUAUUUAACGCGGAGAAUGACACUUAUUUGUCAGAGUAAAAACAUAAUAAAUAUGAACAUUUUACAAAGACUAUUUAUGAAUCUGCUGUGUUCUGAUCAUGGAAAACGUGACUGAUUUAUAAAUAAUUAAAUUACAAACACUUUGGUGUUGAUUUAAUGUAUUUGUUCAUAAAUAAACCCCCAAGUUAUUUUUUCAUGCCAAUAUUUAUUUUGUUUUUGUGCCGCUGAACGAUUAACGGGCCCUUGCAAGGAGGUAUUUUUUUCUGUAGUUUUCUUACACCUUACUGAAAAUGGCUUUGAAAAUGAAUCUGUCCGUGUUCCUGGCAAUAAUUCAACCGUUUUUCGUGAGAUCAAACUGAAAACGAGCAGAUAUGCAGCAUCACAGGACGGCAAGGACAAGCAGACAUCUCAGAAGAUUUCCUCUGGAUGCCCUGACCAGACAGAAUAACUUGGUCUUCCACGUCUCUACUGCUUUACCAACACAAAGGUGUCUGUCCUGGCCCUUUACGCUGACGGUCAGUCCGACACAAGACUGGAUUUUCGGUUGACCCGCAGGACCAUCGAGCAUCUGGGUCGAUGGUCCUGAAGCAUCAGCUUCGGGUUCCUCACACUCUGGGGGGUCACAGGAGACUGACGUCCUGGUGUUUCUUUUCUGGCUGGCGUGUGGCACAUCUUACAGUGUGGUAGCCAGAGUCUUUGACAUGACACGGUCCACCGUGAGCCAUGUUGUCCACAGGACGGCAGACCGCAUCCUCCAGCUGAUGAGCAGGGUCACCCAGCUUCCCAGUGGGAAUGAACUACCAUAAGUCGCCUCUGGAUUUUAGCAGCUCGCUUGGUCUUUCUCCUUCCAAAGGGUCACAAGGAGCAUUGAUGGCUGCCACAUAAGAAUAAAGGCCCUAAAAGAAAAUGCAGCUUGUUAUUUUAACAGGAAGCUUU